This is a non-coding RNA of Xylariales sp. AK1849, 90 nucleotides long. NCBI's taxonomy places the organism in Eukaryota, Fungi, Ascomycota, Sordariomycetes, Xylariales. The record is from the annotation of a GenBank genome assembly.
GGUUGUGUAGUCUAGUUGGUGAGGACGUCGGAUUCUGAUUAUCUAGAAUCUUACGUUCCGAAAACCUGGGUUCGAAUCCCAGCAUAACCU